GUCGGGAUAGCUCAGCAG
This 18-nucleotide transfer RNA is filed under the name Phelipanche arenaria. Its description in RNAcentral is "partial tRNA-Phe". Lineage: Eukaryota; Viridiplantae; Streptophyta; Magnoliopsida; Lamiales; Orobanchaceae. RNAcentral also lists the same sequence under 1 other name. The record is from RNAcentral.